AAAACGCUGCUAACUCGCGAGAGGGAGCCAAUCGGAAAAAGCCGGUCUCAGUUCGGAUUGGAUUCUCUUCCUCGACUCCAUGAAGUUGGAAUCGCUAGUAAUCGCAGAUCAGCACGCUGCG
This 121-nucleotide ribosomal RNA is filed under the name uncultured Acidobacteriota bacterium. RNAcentral's name for it is "uncultured Acidobacteria bacterium partial 16S ribosomal RNA". It matches the Rfam family "Bacterial small subunit ribosomal RNA", at positions 1241 to 1361 of the family's 1533-position model. The record is from RNAcentral. Lineage: Bacteria; Pseudomonadati; Acidobacteriota.